Non-coding RNA from Triticum aestivum (bread wheat), 133 nucleotides. The record is from Rfam. Lineage: Eukaryota; Viridiplantae; Streptophyta; Magnoliopsida; Poales; Poaceae.
CUUCUACUCCCUCCAUUCCAAAAUUCUUGUCUUAGAUUUGUCUAGAUACGGAUGUAUCAAGUCACGUUUUAGUAUUAGAUACAUCCGUAUCUAGACAAAUCUAAGACAAGAAUUUUGGGACGGAGAGUAUCUG